GGUGCUGCAUGGCUGUCGUCAGCUCGUGCCGUGAGGUGUUGGUUAAGUCCCGCAACGAGCGCAACCCUAUUGCCAGUGCUACCAGGUAAUGCUGGGCACUCUGGUGAGACUGCCCGGUUAACGGGGAGGAAGGUGGGGACGACGUCAAGUCAUCAUGGCCCUUACGCCUAGGGCUACACACGUACUACAAUGGCGCAUACAAAGGGCAGCGAUACCGCGAGGUGGAGCCAAUCCCAAAAAGUGCGUCCCAGUCCGGAUUGCAGUCUGCAACUCGACUGCAUGAAGUUGGAAUCGCUAGUAAUUCGAGAUCAGCAUGCUCGGGUGAAUGCGUUCCCGGGCCUU
RNAcentral lists this ribosomal RNA (342 nucleotides) under uncultured Desulfovibrio sp. RNAcentral describes it as "bacterial SSU rRNA". It matches the Rfam family "Bacterial small subunit ribosomal RNA", at positions 1037 to 1382 of the family's 1533-position model. Lineage: Bacteria; Pseudomonadati; Thermodesulfobacteriota; Desulfovibrionia; Desulfovibrionales; Desulfovibrionaceae. The record is from RNAcentral.